This 23-nucleotide microRNA is filed under the name Oreochromis niloticus (Nile tilapia). Its description in RNAcentral is "oni-miR-10573d". The record is from miRBase by way of RNAcentral. Lineage: Eukaryota; Metazoa; Chordata; Actinopteri; Cichliformes; Cichlidae.
CGGCGCUCGAGGACUGGAGUUUG